Small nucleolar RNA from Hevea brasiliensis (rubber tree), 73 nucleotides. RefSeq annotates it as small nucleolar RNA R21. The record is from RefSeq and is a predicted model, not a curated record. NCBI's taxonomy places the organism in Eukaryota, Viridiplantae, Streptophyta, Magnoliopsida, Malpighiales, Euphorbiaceae. The transcript has a single exon.
CAUCUCUAUGAGGAUUGGAUGUUAAUUAAAGUAGUGGACUGAUCCAUUGAUGAUUAAUCUAUUCUGAGGGAUG